RNAcentral lists this unclassified non-coding RNA (308 nucleotides) under Mycena sp. RNAcentral's name for it is "partial contains 5.8S ribosomal RNA, internal transcribed spacer 2, and large subunit ribosomal RNA". The record is from RNAcentral. Lineage: Eukaryota; Fungi; Basidiomycota; Agaricomycetes; Agaricales; Mycenaceae.
CGCACCUUGCACCCUUUGGUAUUCCGAAGGGUAUGCCUGUUUGAGUGUCAUUAAAUUCUCAACCUUACACCUUUAUUGUGUGUAAGGCUUGGAUGUGAGGGUUAUUGCUGGCUUCCUUAAGUGUGACGGUCAGCUCCCUUGAAAUGCAUUAGUGGAAUCCUUUGUGGAUCGUCACUGAGUGUGAUAAUUAUUGUGCUCUUUCGACUCUGAAACAAUGUAAUAUGGAAUCUGCUUCUAACCGUCCUUCAGUUGGACAAUUUACUUGACAAUUUGGCCUCAAAUCAGGUAGGACUACCCGCUGAACUUAA